GCACGUGCCGCCAUGGCCAGUUUGAUGGUCCGUUUUGAGAAGUAAAACAACCUUCUUGAGCUGGAAGAGGAAAGAUGUCAGAGUCCCAGCAAGAAGACCCUAAGCUUAGGACUUGCGCUUUGUGGAAAGAAGGGUCUCCAGGGUAACGGUGUCUCUUGACUCCUUUUGCCCAUAUAACAGCUUUUGGCUCCGAGGCUUUUUUCUUAAGCACAAGUACCAACUUCUGUCAGUAGCAAGCAUCACCAGCUAUGUUGGGACCAGGAAUAAAGAGUGAGGGUCCUGAAGAGUAGGUGCCACCCUUCCCCUGUCUCAGGAAGCCAGGACGCCUCGCUAGCUGGAAACCAGUCAGAUGAGAUCUUUAUGGCUUCCUAUUAAAUGGGAUGUAUACAGGCAUUUUUUUCCUUCCUUAGGGAAAGCACAGGAAUUUGGGAGGAACCUAUGGGCCACUCAGAAGUAUGAACAUUCAAGAUGUUUGGAGAAGAGCUUUCCCUCCGGGGCCAGGUGCAACAGGACUGGGGAGAUAGGAAGCCUUUUCUUUAUAGCUUGCUGUUGUGAAGGGAAAGGAAUUGCUUUGCCCAUCUGCCCAACCAUUGGAGUUCAAUGGCAAAAAGGAAGUAAGAGCUCAGAAGGGUUAAUUCUGAAGAUCUGGCAGCUCCUUGUGAAGCCCACAGGGAGAAAAGCAGCCUCCCUGGUCUAAUUACCCACUGAAAGCUGGGUGGGAGUCUGUGUCUGCAGGAAGCUCCUGCCCUACCUGUCUGAAUAGUUAGGCUGCAGCCUGCUUCGUUUUUAAUGUUAUCCACUGCCCUCUCUUCUGUUCAUUGCGAUUUUCUGUCCUCCUCACCUCUGGAUACCCUGGCACCUUCACUUGAAACAUUGUCACUGGAGAGCUCGGCUUUGACAGAAACCUCUCUGAAAUUAUUUUUUGUCCUGUUCUGGCUUGCACUUGAAUAAUUCUCC
Molecule: long non-coding RNA, 957 nt
Filed under: Fukomys damarensis (Damara mole-rat)
Lineage: Eukaryota; Metazoa; Chordata; Mammalia; Rodentia; Bathyergidae
Description: lncRNA (ENSFDAG00000028569.1)
Source: RNAcentral